This 489-nucleotide ribosomal RNA is filed under the name uncultured bacterium. RNAcentral describes it as "partial 16S ribosomal RNA". It matches the Rfam family "Bacterial small subunit ribosomal RNA", at positions 29 to 507 of the family's 1533-position model. The record is from RNAcentral.
AUUGAACGCUGGCGGCAGGCCUAACACAUGCAAGUCAAACGGUAACAGGAAGAAGCUUGCUUCUUUGCUGACGAGUGGCGGACGGGUGAGUAAUGUCUGGGAAACUGCCUGAUGGAGGGGGAUAACUACUGGAAACGGUAGCUAAUACCGCAUAACGUCGCAAGACCAAAGAGGGGGACCUUCGGGCCUCUUGCCAUCGGAUGUGCCCAGAUGGGAUUAGCUAGUAGGUGGGGUAACGGCUCACCUAGGCGACGAUCCCUAGCUGGUCUGAGAGGAUGACCAGCAAAAUGGAAAUGGGGAAAGGGUCAGAAUCCUAAGGGAAGCAGCCAGUGGGAAAAUUUGAACAAGGGGGGAAGGCCGAAGGAAGCCAGGCCGGGUGAUGAAGAAGGGCUUCGGGGUGGUAAGGAAUUUCCGGGGGGAGGAAGGGAGUAAAGUUAAUACCUUUGCUCAUUGACGUUACCCGCAGAAGAAGCACCGGCUAACUCCGUG